CUUGCACUUUGGCAGACUGAGUGGCGGACGGGUGAGUAACGCGUGAGUAACCUGCCCUAGAGUGGGGGACAACAGACGGAAACGACUGCUAAUACCGAAUAAGUUCCAAGGGCCGCAUGGCCCAUGGAAGAAAAGGUGGCCUCUACCUGUAAGCUAUCGCCUGAAGAGGGGUUUGCGUCUGAUUAGCUGGUUGGAGGGGUAACGGCCCACCAAGGCGACGAUCGGUAGCCGACCUGAGAGGGUGAUCGGCCACAUUGGGACUGAGACACGGCCCAAACUCC
Molecule: ribosomal RNA, 281 nt
Filed under: uncultured Dialister sp.
Lineage: Bacteria; Bacillati; Bacillota; Negativicutes; Veillonellales; Veillonellaceae
Description: partial 16S ribosomal RNA
Rfam family: Bacterial small subunit ribosomal RNA
Source: RNAcentral